This 253-nucleotide ribosomal RNA is filed under the name uncultured bacterium. RNAcentral describes it as "partial 16S ribosomal RNA". It matches the Rfam family "Bacterial small subunit ribosomal RNA", at positions 524 to 776 of the family's 1533-position model. The record is from RNAcentral.
UACGUAGGGUGCGAGCGUUAAUCGGAAUUACUGGGCGUAAAGCGUGCGCAGGCGGUUUUGUAAGCCAGAUGUGAAAUCCCCGGGCUCAACCUGGGAAUGGCAUUUGGAACUGCAAGGCUGGAGUACGGCAGAGGAGACUGGAAUUCCUGGUGUAGCAGUGAAAUGCGUAGAUAUCAGGAGGAAUACCGAUGGCGAAGGCAGAUCUCUGGGCCGUAACUGACGCUGAGGAGCGAAAGCGUGGGGAGCGAACAGG